RNAcentral lists this unclassified non-coding RNA (353 nucleotides) under uncultured fungus. Its description in RNAcentral is "partial contains small subunit ribosomal RNA, internal transcribed spacer 1, and 5.8S ribosomal RNA". The stretch from base 1 to 73 matches the Rfam family "Eukaryotic small subunit ribosomal RNA", at positions 1759 to 1831 of the family's 1831-position model. The record is from RNAcentral. Lineage: Eukaryota; Fungi.
GCAAACUUGGUCAUUUAGAGGAAGUAAAAGUCGUAACAAGGUUUCCGUAGGUGAACCUGCGGAAGGAUCAUUAUUGAAGUUAAUAUAGACUGUUGCUGGCUCUUAGGAGUAUUGUGCACGUCUAUUCAAACUUUAUCAAUCUCCACCUGUGCACCUUGUGUAGAUCUGAAUCACUUGUUUUUCGAGUGCGAAACUCGGUUUGAAGAAAUGCGUUGAAGCUUUUCUUCACGAAUUCAGACCUAUGUUUCAAAUAUAACCCAUACAAUGUAAACUUUGCAUGAUAAUUAACAAUAAAAUAUAAUACAACUUUCAACAACGGAUCUCUUGGCUCUCGCAUCGAUGAAGAACGCAGC